GACGAACGCUGGCGGCGUGCUUAACACAUGCAAGUCGAACGCUGAAGCCUGGCUUUUGUUGGGUGGAUGAGUGGCGAACGGGUGAGUAACACGUGAGUAACCUGCCCUCUUCUUUGGGAUAACGCCCGGAAACGGGUGCUAAUACUGGAUAUUCACUUGCCUUCGCAUGGGGGUGGGUGGAAAGGGUUUUUUCUGGUGGGGGAUGGGCUCGCGGCCUAUCAGCUUGUUGGUGGGGUGAUGGCUUACCAAGGCUUUGACGGGUAGCCGGCCUGAGAGGGUGACCGGCCACAUUGGGACUGAGAUACGGCCCAGACUCCUACGGGAGGCAGCAGUGGGGAAUAUUGCACAAUGGGCGCAAGCCUGAUGCAGCGACGCCGCGUGAGGGAUGGAGGCCUUCGGGUUGUGAACCUCUUUCGCUCAUGGUCAAGCCGCAACUCAUGGUUGUGGUGAGGGUAGUGGGUAAAGAAGCGCCGGCUAACUACGUGCCAGCAGCCGCGGUAAUACGUAGGGCGCGAGCGUUGUCCGGAAUUAUUGGGCGUAAAGGGCUUGUAGGCGGUUGGUCGCGUCUGCCGUGAAAUCCUCUGGCUUAACUGGGGGCGUGCGGUGGGUACGGGCUGGCUUGAGUGCGGUAGGGGAGACUGGAACUCCUGGUGUAGCGGUGGAAUGCGCAGAUAUCAGGAAGAACACCGGUGGCGAAGGCGGGUCUCUGGGCCGUUACUGACGCUGAGGAGCGAAAGCGUGGGGAGCGAACAGG
Molecule: ribosomal RNA, 754 nt
Filed under: uncultured Actinomyces sp.
Lineage: Bacteria; Bacillati; Actinomycetota; Actinomycetes; Actinomycetales; Actinomycetaceae
Description: bacterial SSU rRNA
Rfam family: Bacterial small subunit ribosomal RNA
Source: RNAcentral